RNAcentral lists this ribosomal RNA (472 nucleotides) under uncultured bacterium. RNAcentral describes it as "bacterial SSU rRNA". It matches the Rfam family "Bacterial small subunit ribosomal RNA", at positions 28 to 509 of the family's 1533-position model. The record is from RNAcentral.
GAUGAACGCUGGCGGCGUGCCUAACACAUGCAAGUCGAACGGAGUUUAACGAAUGAAGCCUAGCGAUUUUGUUAAACUUAGUGGCGGACGGGUGAGUAACGCGUGGAUAACCUGCCUCACACAGUGGGAUAACAGUUAGAAAUGACUGCUAAUACCGCAUAAGCCCACAGCACCGCAUGAUGCAGUGGGAAAAGAUUUUAUCGGUGUGAGAUGGAUCCGCGUCUGAUUAGCUAGUUGGCGGGGUAACGGCCCACCAAGGCGAUGAUCAGUAGCCGGCCUGAGAGGGUGAACGGCCACAUUGGGACUGAGACACGGCCCAAACUCCUACGGGAGCAGCAGUGGGGAAUAUGCACAAUGGGCGCAAGCCUGAUGCAGCGACGCCGCGUGAGUGAAGAAGUAUUCGGUUGUAACUCUUUUAAGAGGAAGAGUAGAAGACGGUACCUCUUGAAUAAGCCACGGCUAACUACGUGCC